GAUGAACGCUGGCGGCGUGCCUAAUACGUGCAAGUCGAGCGAACAGACGAGGAGCUUGCUCCUCUGACGUUAGCGGCGGACGGGUGAGUAACACGUGGAUAACCUACCUAUAAGACUGGGAUAACUUCGGGAAACCGGAGCUAAUACCGGAUAAUAUAUUGAACCGCAUGGUUCAAUAGUGAAAGACGGUUUUGCUGUCACUUAUAGAUGGAUCCGCGCCGCAUUAGCUAGUUGGUAAGGUAACGGCUUACCAAGGCAACGAUGCGUAGCCGACCUGAGAGGGUGAUCGGCCACACUGGAACUGAGACACGGUCCAGACUCCUACGGGAGGCAGCAGUAGGGAAUCUUCCGCAAUGGGCGAAAGCUUGACGGAGCAACGCCGCGUGAGUGAUGAAGGUCUUCGGAUCGUAAAACUCUGUUAUUAGGGAAGAACAAAUGUGUAAGUAACUAUGCACGUCUUGACGGUACCUAAUCAGAAAGCCACGGCUAACUACGUG
Molecule: ribosomal RNA, 497 nt
Filed under: uncultured bacterium
Lineage: Bacteria
Description: partial 16S ribosomal RNA
Rfam family: Bacterial small subunit ribosomal RNA
Source: RNAcentral